Molecule: long non-coding RNA, 5765 nt
Filed under: Anolis carolinensis (green anole)
Lineage: Eukaryota; Metazoa; Chordata; Lepidosauria; Squamata; Anolidae
Description: lncRNA (ENSACAG00000035650.1)
Source: RNAcentral
AUGGGAAAUAAGCAAGACGAACUCCAACUCCUAGCACAGCACCACACAUACGAUGUCAUAGGCAUCACUGAAACCUGGUGGGAUGACUCCCAUCACUGGAAUUUAACCAUUGAGGGCUAUAACCUCUUUCACAGAAAUAGAACAAAGGGGAGAGGAGGGGGAGUAGCUUUAUAUGUCAAAAACAGUUACGUUGCAGAAGAAAUGCAAGACUGUAAUCCGGGAAACCAGCUUGAAAGCAUCUGGAUAAGAAUCAAGGGAACCGGGACUCAAAAAGAUCUUGUCGUGGGUGUCUACUACAGACCUCCGAGUCAGGAUGAAGGACUUGAUGAAGCCUUCUGUCAACAGCUGACCAAACAGGCACAAAGAAGAGAUAUAGUAGUCAUGGGCGAUUUCAAUUAUCCCGAUAUCUGCUGGAAAACAAACUCAGCCAAGAGUACAAAGUCCAACAAAUUCCUCACUUGCCUUGCAGAUAAUUUUAUGGUCCAGAAGGUAGAAGAGGCAACAAGGGGAUCAGCAACUCUUGAUCUAAUCUUAACAAAUGUGGAAGACCUGAUCAAUACAGUUGAAGUGGUUGGAUCCUUAGGGGCAAGUGACCAUGUGCUCCUGCAGUUUGCAAUACAAAGGAAUGCUGAAACUAAGACAAGUCAAACACGCAUUCUGGACUUUAAGAGAGCUGACUUCCAAAAAAUGAAGGAAUUACUGAGCGGCAUUCCAUGGACGCCGAUAUUAAAAAACAAGGGAGUUAAGGAUGGAUGGGAGUUUUUCAAAAGUGAAAUACUCAAGGCGCAAAUGCAAACAGUGCCAACAAAGAAGAAAAAUAAGACAAGUGCAAAGAAGCCAGAAUGGAUGUCCAAAGAACUUCUAACUGAGCUAAAGCUCAAAAGUGACAUGCACAAGAAGUGGAAAAGGGGAGAAAUCACCAAAGAAGAAUUCAAACGUAUAGCCAACUCCUGUAGGGAAAAGGUUCGCAAGGCUAAAGCGCAAAAUGAGCUCAGGCUUGCCAGGGACAUAAAAAACAACAAAAAAGGUUUUUUUGCUUAUGUUGGUAGAAAAAGGAAGAAAAAGGAGGCGAUAGGGCCACUGCAAGGAGUAGAUGGGGUGAUGGUGACAGGGGAUAGGGAAAAGGCAGAACUGCUUAAUGCCUUCUUUGCCUCGGUCUUCUCACAAAAAGAAAGCCAUCUUCAACCUCAGCAACAUGGAAUGGACGAAGGAUUGGGGGAAAUCCAACCCCAAAUAGGGAAACAAGUUGUCCAGGAACACCUGGCCACUCUAAAUGAAUUCAAGUCCCCAGGGCCAGAUCAGCUACAUCCAAGAGUAUUGAAGGAACUAGCGGAAGUUAUUUCAGAACCACUGGCAAUCAUCUUCGAGAGUUCUUGGAGAACAGGAGAAGUCCCAGCAGAUUGGAGGAGGGCGAAUGUGGUCCCUAUCUUCAAGAAGGGAAAAAAGAACGACCCAAACAAUUACCGUCCGGUCAGCCUCACAUCAAUACCAGGCAAGAUUCUGGAAAAGAUCAUUAAGGAAGUGGUCUGCAAACACCUAGAAACAAAUGCGGUCAUUGCUAAUAGUCAACACGGAUUUACCAAAAACAAGUCAUGCCAGACUAAUCUGAUCUCUUUUUUCGAUAGAGUUACGAGUUGGGUCGUUCUUUUUUCCCUUCUUGAAGAUCGGGACCACAUUCGCCCUCCUCCAAUCUGCUGGGACUUCUCCCGUUCUCCAAGAACUCUCGAAGAUAAUUGCCAGUGGUUCUGAAAUAACUUCCGCUAGUUCCUUCAAUACUCUUGGAUGGAGCUGAUCUGGCCCUGGGGACUUGAAUUCGUUUAGAGUGGCCAGGUGUUCCUGGACAACUUGUCUCCCUAUUUGGGGUCAAAACUGGGAAGAUGCUGAGAAUACGCGGGAACUGCAGCAAAGCGUCGUUUGCCCUCCGAGAUGGGCGGACGUGGUCACUCCACGCAAGGGGACGGACUGAGGAAUGCCGGCCCAUGAUCAGAGACGGACAAAGGGACUGCCAAUUAAAUUAACUGUAAUCGAUUUCAAGAAAGAUGGGGACUCACUCACUUACUAACUCCUUUUUUCUGAUACCCCGCCCCAUCUCCCCGUAGGGUCUCACACGAGGGCCAAGCCCAGAAUACAACAUGAAAUACAACUGCAAAAUGCACGUAAAGCAUAUAAACAUAAAACCAAAAGGCAUACAAAGUACAAUAAAAACAUACAACUGACCAAUAGCCAAGCACCGUGAGUGUAUUCAAGACUGGAAGUAAGGCAGUAGCAUUUAUAUACGUGCCAUGUCUCACAACCUCUAAAUCUGGACCAGAAUAAAGUGAAAUGGCUGCGUAUAGGUGGAAGCAGAGGACAUUAUCUGCUUUGAACUGGAUUAUAUGAGUCUACACGGCCAGGCAAUCCAGUUCAAAACAGAUAAUCUGGAUUUUAUCUGGCAGUGUAGAAGGGCCUGCAAUUCCUGUGAUUCUUCAGGGCUGGCAAUCCUCCCCCACACACCUCCAGAAAUAAUAAUAAUAAUAAAACUUUAUUUAUACCCCGCCACCAUCUCCCCUAGAUCUCUUCUGUUUCUUUGUGGAUCCCCAGACACGGGGAGAAUUACUAGCAGAUCCAGGAACAUUUGGAAUCAAGGAUCUAAUGGUGCAUCUGCACGGUAGAAUUAAUGUACAGGGGAGUCUCAUUUAUUAUUAUUGUUUAUUAUUUACAACAUUUAUAUUUUGCCCUUCUCACCCUGAAGGUGACUCAGGGCGGAUCACAUUACACAUAUACGCAGUGUUUUUCAAUUGUGAUUUUACAAGGCAUUGAGCAUUUAUCACUUUUUCACGACAACAACCACAACAACAACAGGGGCCAAUGUCAGUUGGAAGAUCCAUGAAUCAGGAGAGCGUUUCCAGGAGCGGAAGUGUCCUUCCGUAGGAUUAUCUACGAGGAGGAGAAUAAUAAGGGAGACUCUCCACUCGGCGUGAGGUUCGUAGACUCAGACCCAGGUCUGUCUGUUCGCUUCUCAGUGUGCUUUGUGUGUCUAUACAAGACCGUUGUAUCGGUGUGUGCUUUUUCUGGUUUAUUUUUGUAGUUGUGGCAGCCACUCGGGGAGCCGUAUAGUUUCCGCAUUGUAGAUUAUGGAAUUACUAUCUUUCUUUUCUUAAUAAAAGCAAGUAUUUGCGAAAAGGGGAUUUAGAAGGGUCAAAAUACCAGAGACCGGAAAGGCAGGUAAACCUGGGGUUCAAUGGAAAAUCUGGGGUCCUUUGGGCAUCGUUUUCCUUCUAUAGAUCAGUCUCAGGGCUCUGGGUUUGAUUUUCAUGCUUCAGGUAUUAAAUAUAUUCCGUGUUUUGAUCAUCAAUUGCUUUUUCGGGGGGGGGGGGGGCUGGGAUAUGACUGUAGUUUUCGCUUCCACGCAUCUGAAUCCAAACUUUCAAGAAAGCUUUCAUUUAUAUUUAUCGUGUCAGAAGCGAACCGAGGGUACAGUUGCAAUGCAUUUUAAAUGUCAGAGUUUUCAAAACUUGUCCUGAUACUAAAUGUCCUUUGAGCAGAAUCUGUCCCCUUGGAGUAAGGCCUCUGGUGUGGCUGUGAGAAGGUGCUCGGUUGUGCCCGUGGCAGGGCUCGGUCCGCAUUGCAGUCGGUGGUGGGGUGUGGUUUGGUCUCCUCCACACUUGCACGUCAUGGACUCCACUCUGUGGCCACUUUCUGAAGGCGGUCUCUGCGUCUCGUGGUGCCAGAGCGCAGUCUGUUCCGGGCCUUCCUUCCUUCCACGUCGCCCCGUCCUCUGUCCGCCCAGGAGGGAGUCUCUCCUCCCAUCUCAGCCAUGGAUUGAGGUCUCCGGUCUUAGCCUGCCACCUUUGGACUCUUGACUGCUGAGGUGUUCCAGUGACUAUCUCUGUGGAUCUUAGGAAAUUAUUUCUUGAUGUCAGGCGUUGGCGUGCUGUCUGAUAUCCAAACAGGGGAUGGGCCGGAGAUGUCACUGCCUUGGUCCUUUCAUUACCGGCUGCUACUCCCCACGGAUAUCAGGUGGUGCAAUGCCGGCUAAGUAGUAUAAUUUCUCCAGUGGUGAGGGGUGUAGACAUCCUGUGGUGACGCGGCAUGUCUCAUUCAGAGCUGCAUCCACUGUGUUAACGUGGUGAGAUGUAUUCCACUCUGGGCGUGCACACUCAGGAGCCGAGUAGCCAAGCACAAGGGCAGGUGUCUUCACUGUCUCGGGUUGUGAUCUACCUGGUCCAGUCAGCUGUCCUGUGAUAUUGGUUCUAGCACCCGCUUUUUUCUCGAUAUUCAACACAGCUGUCCCUCCAUAUGUGCAGGUGUCAUUUUCAUGAAUGAUGAUGAUGAUUUUAUUUUCUACCCGCCUCCCUUUAUGCAGGCCAAAAUUCCAUUGACCUUUUUUGUCAGAACCUGGAAGCUCUUGGCCAAUCCUUGGACACAGCUUUAUUUUCCAUCUUACCAUAGGCAACAGAAAGACAGUUCUUGGCAGUUCCUGGCAAACCCUGUGUAUAUCAUCCUGCUGACCCAAGACCCCUCCCACUCUCUCUAUUCUACCAGAUACUUUCCAUUCCCACUAACGAUUCUCCGGUUUCUGUUUCCUCCAGUCCAGAUGGGCCUUACCUGAGGUGCACUCCCAGCCUCCCCCUCUCAACAGCCAUGGCAUGGGGUGGGCGGAGCAGCUCAGCCCAAGCUGUUAGGGACACAUCCUGAUGUAACUCCCCUCCAAGAAGGUGGCCCUGGAAAGAAAGGAAAACAAAGAAAGAAAAACAAUGAGGCAGUCGAGGUCCAGUUUUAAGGGGAAGGUCUCUGUGAAAAAGCCUCAGCGACUUGGGAGCCCGCACGUGCUCAGGAGCCACCCACUCGGGGUGGGGGACCCGCCAAGACCACUGGACCGGGCAGAGCAGCCACCCUCGAGAUCCAAAAUAUCCUUGAUCUCGGAAUGUGUGUGGGGCCACCCACCAUAAUGGGAACAGGGUCAGAGCCAGACUUACUCCACUUAUGGGAAGUACUGGCUUGUUCAAGGAGACUGACAUGGAAUACGGGAUGGACUUUCCUCAUAGGAGGUCAUUCCAACUGAACAGCCACUGGGUUGGUAACAGCAGAGAUGGGAAGCGGGCCAGUGCAUUUAGGGGAAAUGUAUUACUGUCCCCCAUGUUGUUUAACAUCAACCUGAAGCCGCUGGGAGAGAUCAUCAGGAGUUUCGGGGUGCGGUGCCAUCUGUACGCAGAUGAUGGCCAGCUCUGUCACUCCUUCCCACCUGUCACUCAGGAGGCUGUCCAGGUACUGAACCGGUGAAAUUGAAUCCAGACAAGACAGAGGUCCUCCUGGUCAAUCAUAAGGCCUAUCAGGGCAUAGGGUCACAGCCUGUGCUGGAUGGCAUCACACUCCCCAUGGAGGCGCAGGUCCGCAGUCUGGGGGUGAUCCUAGACUCGUGGUUGAGCCUGGAGCCCCAGGUCUCCGCGGUGGUCAGGGGAGCCUUUGCACAGCUGAAACGUGUGUGCCAGCCGUGCCCGUACCUGGGAAGCCGGACUUGGGCACGGUGGUCCACGCUCUUGUUACAUCCCGAUUAGACUACUACAACGCGCUCUACGUGGUGCUGCCUUUGGAGACUGUUCGGAAGCUCCAACUAGUCCAACGGGAGGGAGGCAGCCAGGUUGAUAACCGGAGUGACGUACAGGGAGCGUACCACCCUCCUUUUACGUCAGCUCCACUGGCUGCUGAUUGGCUACCGGGCACAAUUCAAAGUGCUGGCUUUAGAGUAUAAAGCUCUAAACGGUUCCGGCCCAGCUGACUUGUCC